RNAcentral lists this transfer RNA (71 nucleotides) under Marmota monax (woodchuck). RNAcentral describes it as "tRNA.Ala". Lineage: Eukaryota; Metazoa; Chordata; Mammalia; Rodentia; Sciuridae. The record is from RNAcentral.
GGGGUUGUGGCUCAGUGGUAGAGCAUGCACCGAGCACAUGUGAGGCCCUGGGUUCUAUCCUCAGCACCACA